AAGGGAGACCUAAUUCAGGUAGGAGACGAAAAAAAAGUAGUCGCUACCAAGAAUCAAUCCCAAAAGGUCGGAGCGAGGCGAAAUUGGCUUUCAAACUAGGUUCUGGGUUCACACAAGACCUGAAUCAGGAACAAGGGCUAUUAGCUCAGGUGGUUAGAGCGCACCCCUGAUAAGGGUGAGGUCCCUGGUUCGAGUCCAGGAUGGCCCACCUGCACAGGUGGCAAAAACAAGAGAAGCGAGGAAUCAGCACCUUAUCUUAUCUAUAUAUAUAUAGGAGAGAAUGCUGGCUCUGAGUAAAGAGUCCAGAGGAACCUUGAAAACUGCAUAGAGCUAGGUGAAAAAGCCAAAAAAGAAGACCGCAAGGUCAAGCUAAUAAGGGCUAACGGUGGAUACCUAGGCAC
RNAcentral lists this transfer RNA (401 nucleotides) under uncultured Microcystis sp. RNAcentral's name for it is "bacterial LSU rRNA". The stretch from base 135 to 208 matches the Rfam family "tRNA". The record is from RNAcentral. Lineage: Bacteria; Bacillati; Cyanobacteriota; Cyanophyceae; Chroococcales; Microcystaceae.